Molecule: long non-coding RNA, 2214 nt
Organism: Hemicordylus capensis (graceful crag lizard)
Lineage: Eukaryota; Metazoa; Chordata; Lepidosauria; Squamata; Cordylidae
Exons: 4
Source: RefSeq, a predicted model, not a curated record
GAAGAAAGUCCUCAUUCCCCUUUGGCACCUUCAAAGACUGCUGUGAGAAGAAGCCUUCAGUGACAUCAAAAGCCAAAGUCAGCACUUAACUGCCAAGAUCUGAACAUUCUAACAGCAACAGCCAAGCCAGAAGCAGAGGCUGCAGAGGCUUGAGUGCUUACCGGCAUGAAACACCGAUGUCAUCUUACAGUUAUCUCAGCGCAGUCUCUCUGCCAUUCAAAGAUGCCAUAUCCAGUGUCACAGCAUAAGCAUAAUAAGUAACAGGCUUCUGCAAAGAUCUGCUUCAGAAAGGCUUCCAGGCCGCUGUGACUGCACAUGCCAAAAAAGCCUGCAAUGAAAGAUAAACUGCUUCGCAAUAAUCAAGCGACACAGGGUUGCACAACUCAAAUGCCCUGGUGGGCCGGAACCAUCUACAACUUGGCGUGCAGGGGCCGAGUUGUCUACCUCGCUGCUUCAGACCAGCAACAUGCAUCUAUCCAGAGAACACAUGGGCUAGGACCAUAGUCGCCAUGGUAACUAUGAACUCCUGAGAUGCUUCUGAUAACACAGUCCCAUAGUGAACAUUGUUGCCCACCACCACCAGUCUGGGUGACACCAAUGCCAACCUUGCAACAAGAUCUGUCAGCUCAGUUACGGACUUUGUUGAACAAUGGGGUGAUCUGUACACAAACAGUAGUCCCAAUCUAUCCUUAGUCCCUAGGCUUAGGUACAGACACUUGAUAUGGGCCAAUUCCCCGACAGGGAUCCUGGUAAAUGAGACAGUUUCCUUAUAGACCACACCACACCACCUUCUUGCCCACAUCCUCUCACUUGCUCCACCACAGAGUAUCCUGUUGGGAGAAGCUGAGACUAGACUGGACCACUAGCCACCCUUCAACCAGGUCUCUGUAAUGCAUAGCUCCUUCAUCCAAAAUCAAAUCACAGAUGAUCUCCAGUUUGUUUUGAACCAACCUGGCAUUAUAAAUUAGCAAGGUGAAGUUCUAUGAGAGAUUGUUACUGCUCCCCAGUAUUAAAGAGCUGAUACGCCAGCUGGAAGGAGAAUCAGCCAUUAAGUUUCUGAUUUCCUGUCCCCUGUAAUGGCCUGCUGACCUACCAACAUCAUGUCUUCAUUGAUGCCCCACCACCACUGGAAUGGCCAUCCCAGAGUCAUUUCCCUCUCCCCAUCUCUGGACAACCAAAGACACAUACCUGUACCAGACACAACCAAUAAUAAGGCAACAAUACAUCACUAUCAGGAGGUCCUGCCCUGGCCCUCAGUCCAACCACCGAAGGCCUCCACCAAAGUCUGCCCCCCUUUGGUGGCCAGCUUUGGCAGCUCCCUGCAGGAAGCACACCUACAGGCAAGCCACACCAGCGGCUGCAUACCAGUGAGCCACACCAGCGGCUGCACCGGAGGCUGCACCCUCAGUGUUGCUCGCCUUUAUAAGAGCCAAAAGUUGGAAAAUGAGAACACACCAGGUGACUCACUCACCCUGCUGGCCCACAACCUCCCUGUUAUCAGUGGCACUAUGUCAGCCACCAAUGCUCUCUUGUUCCUCCAACCCCCCAGCUCUGGCAUUUUCAAAAGCUGGAUGGGAAGGUGGAAGAAGGAAGUGUAGAGUGCUUGGUUAUUGCAUCUAGAACUGGGGAGGGGGUGAGGAAAGAGAUCUGAGAGAAGGGCAUUAUGCACUGGGGAGGUGGGGGAAUAAGAUUUGAUGGGAGAAAAGCCCAGAAGAUGAUUGUGUGUAAGAGCUGGAGUGGGAAAGCCAAGGAGGUGAGGGGAAUUGUUGCACAUUUUGCACUGCUGGGGAUGGGGGAAGAGCACUUGGAGUAGAGAGGGAACUGGCAAGUGGCAUGCUUUACCAAGGGGGCAGUGAUUCAGCGCAACACUUUAGGCUAUGGGAGGGGCUAGGGCUGGCCCUGGAGCAAAAAUCAGAACCAGAGUUUGAAUUAGAGGAGCUACAAUUUGCCUUUGCCAAGAGCACUAUUUACAUGCCAUAUCAUUGACAAAAGAUUGUGCAAAAGAAACUCAUUUGGAAGAUUAUUACUGAAUACAUAUACUGUGUGUGCUAUGAAGCUCAUAAAACUGGAUAUCUGCCUGUGAUGAACUGCAUUAUUAAUGGUUGUCAUGUAAAAGGUUGCACUGUUUAAAGCAUUUUAGAAUGGUUAUUGUAUUAUACCAAUGUGUGCCUGUAUAAUACUUCCUCUUACGUCAUUAAAAAAAUAAUAAUAUGA